Molecule: ribosomal RNA, 404 nt
Filed under: uncultured bacterium
Lineage: Bacteria
Description: bacterial SSU rRNA
Rfam family: Bacterial small subunit ribosomal RNA
Source: RNAcentral
UGGGGAAUAUUGCACAAUGGGGGAAACCCUGAUGCAGCGACGCCGCGUGAAGGAAGAAGUAUCUCGGUAUGUAAACUUCUAUCAGCAGGGAAGAAAGUGACGGUACCUGACUAAGAAGCCCCGGCUAAUUACGUGCCAGCAGCCGCGGUAAUACGUAAGGGGCAAGCGUUAUCCGGAUUUACUGGGUGUAAAGGGAGCGUAGACGGAGAGGCAAGUCUGAUGUGAAAGGCAUGGGCUCAACCUGUGGACUGCAUUGGAAACUGUUUUUCUAGAGUGCCGGAGAGGCAGGCGGAAUUCCUAGUGUAGCGGUGAAAUGCGUAGAUAUUAGGAGGAACACCAGUGGCGAAGGCGGCCUGCUGGACGGUAACUGACGUUGAGGCUCGAAAGCGUGGGGAGCAAACAGG